GCCUCCCCGUGCGGCCGUGCGCCUCGGAGUCUCGGGCAGACUUCGCAGCACCACGCCUCCACCCCUCUCACCUCUCCAGGGACGGCCACUUCUCCGGCGACUGGCCACCGCAUCCUCCCACGCCACCAGAUCGACGGCCACCCCAUCCUCCUCGCGCGCCUCCGCAGAUCUACGUGGAAGCCGACCCGGCCGCUCGCCCCUACCGCUACGCCUCCCUACCCCGGUGAGCAUGGUCCGGAACGCACGCUUCUGCAUUGUGCUUACCGAGUUGGUCGCCGCCCUGCAGCAACUCCCAUCACCGAGCCCCCUGCUCCAUCGUGCUUGACACACAGGUCAUGCUAGGGCUCUCUUGCCCCACCGGUGGUGGGUAUUCUUCAGUUUUUGUUGUGGAGUUGUUGAUGAAAUUUCAAGCAGGCUAUAGGUGAGAAUAAAUAAACAAAAUUUGUGUUUCAGUUAAUCUAAUUUUCUAAACUUCGCACUAUUCAAUGUUAGUCAACAACUUAUUAAUGCUCAGCUUCAGUUAAGGGGAUUGAUUUUGCCCGUGCCUCCAUACAUGCGCCAUGGGUCAUUGUUUGGGGAUUUCCAGCUGUGGUAAACCGGCUGGCUCUGUAGGUGAUGUGUUGAUCAUGGGGUGUCUCCUAACCCCCAGUAGAAACGAAUCUGAACACUGAAAGCUGGUCCUCAAGGAUGUUGUGCUCACUCCAUUGCUUUCAAUGGAGGACCCCUGUCUGACACGCUUCCGUCUGCUCUUAUGGUAGGGAUUCCGGUAGUACUAUAUGCUCCUUGAAAUAGAGCUAAUCGUCUUCAGUAUGCAGGAGGAGCCGCGGGCAUUCCCUGCAGGAACAUGGAUUCGUCAGGCAACGACAAUGCAGCUCCAGCCUAUAUGCUGACAAACCUGGUUGAUGCAACCACGACAUUCCAGAUCGUCGACAUUCAGCGGUAUAUGAUGGAGUCCAUCCAAAUAAUUUUGCAGCCAUCUAGCCUAAGCGAUGCUUGAACAUCUUCCCCCGAGGGGUAAUAAAUUUCCUUUCAGGAUUUUUGUUCUUUUGUGUUUUCCAUUAUAUCUGAAAUUAGUUAAAGCCGUUUCUCUGUUUCGCCAUCCUUCUGCUCCUAGAUAACACUUUUAACGAGGUUGCGAUGCCAUUCUGCUCCUAUCCUUUUAAACCAUGGGUUUAGGAGGCUAUUGGUAAACCACACUGCAAAGCUUCUGUUGUUAAAAUUCUGCCCCUAUAGAAUUACAUGCUUACCUGUUCGCAGACUGAAUUAUUAAAGCCGUCUCGCCAUAAAUACUGAUAUAUGUGUACAAUCCUAAAUGUACUGAAAAAAUAUCUUGUCUCUUUGGUUAAUGGUUUAAGUCUAUAUAAUUAGAUUACCAUCCCUAACGCAAUUUUGAAAAACGCUUGCUGGUUUGAUGAACCACAUUGACAAUACGCACAGACUGAAAAACGGUUGCUGGUUUGAUCCAUCUAAUUUGCCCGAUAUAAUAGUCGUUCAUCAUACUUGCUAAAUUUCAGUUUAGACUGAUCAGCUCGAAUUUCUUGAAAAGAACAUUCCACAGUUGCCAUCCUUUUGUGGGUAAUAUUGUAUCGUGAAUGUAUGCCCUAUGGUGCAUCUUAGCUGGUUUAGACAAAUGAAAAGAAUUCCUUCACUGUUCAUUAUCACCCACUGAAAAGAAUUCUUUCACUGUAUACUGCAACCGCUUCUUCCUCUGAUGACUGUCCACUUUCCUAAAUCGAUCCGUUGCUGCAUUUAUCAAUUAUGUUAAAACAUUUGGCACGUUGGUGAUCAUAUUAUAAAAGAUUUGGUUUGUUAGUGCAUCAUAUUAUAGUUGAGCUGAAAUGACUCACUCACUCACAGGAGUGUGGUUUUACACACUGCAACUAUUUCCAAAUAUUCUUGUUACAAGUACAUCUUAACUUUUCUUAAUCUAAAGUCGCAACUAAUAAGUCAUCGGCGUAUUCUAUGGUAUAUACAACACUCUGCAUGUUCAGUUAUCGUCUACAACUAUAGUACUGCAGGCUUAUAUCAAAAGAAAUGUCUUGCUUGCUCAUCAACAGUACAAUCCAUCAACAGUUCAACACCAAUGUUAGAAUUAUAUUCGGUCGAAAUAAAUGCUCACCUGUUGCAAGGCCCAAUACAUAAUGUGAUGCAGAAUUUUUGUGUUACACUGUAGCUUAUUUACUGGGGAUAGUAUCAGGUACAUGUGAAUUCAACUGCGACUGAAGUCAUGCAAACAUUAUUCAGUACUCCAGACCAGUAUCAAAAGAGAUGCCUCGCUUGCUCAUCUCCAGUAUAAUCAUCAACAGCAAUAUUAGAAUUCUGUUUUUUUUUUCGAAAUAAAUGCUUACCAGUUGCUAGGCCCAGAAAAGAAUGUGAUGCAGAAUUUGUGUCACAUUGUAGGUUAUUUACUGGGUUAGUAUGAGGUACAUGUGAAUGCAACUUAGACUGAAGUCAUGUACCAUGUGGUACGUGGUGAGCAACUAAACAAUUGUUAUACAAAGACUGAAGUCAUGCAAACAUUCAUGCUGAGAAAUGACAAUACAGUGCUGAAAUGAAUUCUGAUAUCUUCUAGGAGAUCUGAGCUCCAUUGAAAUAUGAUCAUCAGUAAAUAAAUAGCUGUGAGAAAUGUGGUAGUUAUCAUUUUCCCCUUCUACUAGAAUAAAUAUGUGGAUUUUGUCUGCCUAGCAUGUCGCUUUGUAAAAUUUCUUAAUAUCUCGGUUCAAAUAUUACAGCACGUCACUGAUAUAUCUGAUAUUCUCAUCCUAUAUCCAACAGGUUACUUGGACUGCUUGAGUCUUGUUUGAUGCCGUGUUCGUCACACCAUUAUUCCUUUUAAAAAGUACGAGAGAAUGCUAUACUUAUUGGUGUUUAGCAAAUUAUUGUUAGGAACUUCAUGUAUAUGACUUUUCAGGAGUCAGUCUAUUGUUUGCUUUGCAUUUUCUUUUAUCAGAGUUUAGUUUUGUAUACACAUUCACCAUUUUGUUUCCACUCUAUUUCUAGCGGGUGUAGUACUUGCCGAUGGGGCAGGUUUUAUUUGUACAUAAAUAUAAAUCGAUUAGUGAGGUUAUGCCUACACCAUCUAUCUAAUAUUACA
This is a long non-coding RNA of Lolium perenne, 3094 nucleotides long. RefSeq lists it as uncharacterized. The record is from RefSeq and is a predicted model, not a curated record. NCBI's taxonomy places the organism in Eukaryota, Viridiplantae, Streptophyta, Magnoliopsida, Poales, Poaceae.